CCUACGGGAGGCAGCAGUGGGGAAUAUUGCACAAUGGGGGAAACCCUGAUGCAGCGACGCCGCGUGAGUGAAGAAGUAUUUCGGUAUGUAAAGCUCUAUCAGCCGGGAAGAAAAUGACGGUACCUGACUCAGAAUCCCCGGCUACCUACGUGCCAGCAGCCGCGGUAAUACGGAGGGGGCCAGCGUUAUCCGGAUUUACUGGGUGUAAAGGGAGCGUAUACGGCGCGGCAAGUCUGAAGUGAAAGGCAGGGGCUUAACCCCUGAACUGCUUUGGAAACUGCCAUGCUAGAGUGCUGGAGAGGUAAGUGGAAUUCGUGGUGUAGCGGUGAAAUGCGUAGAUAUUAGGAGGAACACCAGUGGCGAAGGCGGCUUACUGGACAGGAACUGACGUUGAGGCUCGAAAGCGUGGGGAGCGAACAGGAUUAGAUACCCGAGUAAUC
This 440-nucleotide ribosomal RNA is filed under the name uncultured bacterium. Its description in RNAcentral is "partial 16S ribosomal RNA". It matches the Rfam family "Bacterial small subunit ribosomal RNA", at positions 338 to 795 of the family's 1533-position model. The record is from RNAcentral.